RNAcentral lists this long non-coding RNA (202 nucleotides) under Elaeis guineensis (African oil palm). Its description in RNAcentral is "long non-coding RNA (EGUI_LNC069364)". Lineage: Eukaryota; Viridiplantae; Streptophyta; Magnoliopsida; Arecales; Arecaceae. The record is from RNAcentral.
CUUGCUGCCACCUAUUACUAGGCCCAUGCCUCCCCUCCUCUUCCUCUCUCUAGCCCAUGCCCUCUCUCUAGGCAUCCCUCUUUGGAGUUGAAAAAUGGUGGGUGGCAACAAAGGGUUGGGGUCAAGUGUUGGCGCCAACUAGUUUCUUGAUUUUUUCCUUUUCCUCUCAAAUUUGUUAAGAGUUAGUUACAACCACUUCUUG